AUCACUUCAAGAUUUCCCUUUCAUAAUUUCUGCAUCUAUAUACUCUCUUCACCCGUUUCUUUUUCUGUUCCUGCGAGGUGUUUUUUUGGAAGUUCACAUUUUUCCUUCCCAGUCAUUCAUCUCCAGUAAGGCUGCUUCCGAAGAUUCAUGGCAGGAAAGACCAAGAACAAGAUGCAAAGUGAUGUGGGUUGUGGUUUCAUGGGGAGGAUUUUCAAUCUUACAUGCUAUAAGCUGAGGAAAUCAUCUGUUCAUUCACUGCCCUCGAAGGCUAGCAAUAAUGUCCACAACGACCAGAGCAACACUGAAUCCAAGAAGCCGCCAAAUCUUGAACCCAAGGCUCCUUCAACCAAUUUGCACAAAUCAGCCAGAAAGAGCCCUUCCGGUCAUCGAACACCUCCUACCAUUCGAAAGAACCAACAUCCGAGACCUUCAGACGCUGCAAGAAGCUCAACCUCAUCCUCUGGCAAUUCUCGCCCAAUUAAGAUUCAACAAAACCACAAGUUGAAUGUUGAUCGCAGGACACGGAGACAGCCUACUGAAAACUCGCUGGAGCUUGCUAGAGUAAGCACUUGUUAUCAGCGAGAAAACGAGAAUAAAUCCCCACUCAAACUUACUGGUAAUCUGCUUGUAAACAAUAGCCCAACAACUAGAACUAGGAGUCGUGAAACUAUUCCAAGGAAUAAAGAUGUGAUGAACUCAGCUCUCAAGUCUCACACUACCUCAAGUAUAGGCGUCACGGGGAAUAUUAUGAGGGAGAGCACUGAUGAACUUGCGCAGCUCCGGAGUCCCAAGAACAGAGUAGACCCUGAAGUGUUGAAGACAAUGGGAAACGAAGCAUAUAAGCAAGGAAGAUUUGAACAGGCUUUGUCUUUGUAUGAGCGAGCGAUUGCUGUUGAUUCAAAUAAAGCAACGUUCCACUGCAAUAAGAGUGCUGCUUUGAUAGGAUUAGGCCGUCUUCUGGAAGCAAUUGUUGAGUGCCAAGAAGCUAUCCGGUUGGAACCAUCUUAUAACAGACCCCAUCACCGUUUGGCAACCAUAUAUCUCAGAUUGGGGGAAGCAGAAAAGGCACUAAGUUACAAUGUCGCAACCCCAUAUUCUGAUCCUGCACUCGCCUUCCAAGCUCAGUCUCUUCGCAAUCACCUUCAAAAGUGCAUUGAAGCAAGGAAAAUCAACGACUGGGAUGCUAUACUGAACGAAACGCAUUCUGCUAUAUCAUUAGGUGCUGAUUCAAGCCCUCAGGUGUAUGCGUUGCAAACAGAAGCCUUACUCAAGCUCUUCAGACAUCAAGAGGCAUAUGCUACCUAUGAGAAAAUGCCCAAAUUUGCUAUUAAUUGGUGCACCAAGUUAUUUGGUCUGGCUCGUAGUGCUUAUCUGUUUAUGAUAGGAGCGCAAGCUUACUUGGCAGCUGGCAGGUUCGAGGAUGCGGUGACAGCAGCUGAGCAAGCAGCUAAACUUGAUCCAAGCGACAAAGAGGUGAGUGUAGUGGUAAAGAAGGCCAGAGCGAUGUCAUUAGCCAGAAUGAGGGGAAACUCACUGUCCAAGGCAUCCAAAUAUACGGAAGCAUGUGCUGUGUACAACGAAGUACUGGAGCACGAUCCAUACAACUCAGUUCUCCUAUGCAACAGAGCAGCAUGUCGUUAUAAGCUGGGUCAAUUUGAGAAAGCGAUUGAAGAUUGUAAUGCAGCCCUUGCGGUUCAGCCUAGUUAUAGCAAGGCACGGUUCAGGAGGGCAGAUUGCAAUGCCAAGUUGGAAAGAUGGGAAGCUGCAAUUCAAGACUAUGAAAUGCUAUUGAGAGAAAGGCCAGGGGAUGAGGAGGCGGGAAGGGCUUUGUUUGAGGCUCAGCUUCAACUCAAGAUGUUGUGUGGGGAAGAUGUCAAGGACGUCAAAUUUGGGUGUAAUUUGGUUUUUGUAUCGAGCAAUGAUCGGUUUCGACAUUAUGUAACCUCGCCUGGUAUGUCUGUGGUGCUAUUUUGCAACAAGGCAACCCACAAGCAAGAAUUGCUAGUGUUGGAGCAAACCUGCAAGAGAUUUCCGUCCGUCAAUUUCCUCAAGGUGGAAAUUGAUGACCACCCCUACUUAGCGAAAUCAGAAGGGGUGAGCUCUGUCCCAGCCUUCAAAAUAUACAAGAAUGGAUCAAAGGUUGAGGAAAUUCCAGGCAACAAUCACGAGUUGCUAGAAAGAUCUGUCAAAUUAUAUAGCAGUUGAGAACACUGCAAGGAACACACAAAGAGGUUGAAAGGCAAAAGAGCCUUCCAUGCAAAAUUUUACAUUGGUUUGGCAAAUUUGACGAGUGUUUUCUUUCUUCCUGUGAAGAGUUUGACGGAGUGGACCUGACUUUGUUGUAGUUAGAUAACAUUUGUGAAAUAUAUGUAAAUUCUUGUUCUGCCUUCUCUGUGUUUGAGAAAAUGAUUCAUUAAAGGAAAAAAAGGAGAAUAGU
RNA transcript from Neltuma alba, 2437 nucleotides. It is a transcript of the gene named TPR repeat-containing thioredoxin TTL1-like, with no coding region annotated. Lineage: Eukaryota; Viridiplantae; Streptophyta; Magnoliopsida; Fabales; Fabaceae. The transcript has 8 exons. The record is from RefSeq and is a predicted model, not a curated record.